Molecule: transfer RNA, 70 nt
Filed under: Pipa pipa
Lineage: Eukaryota; Metazoa; Chordata; Amphibia; Anura; Pipidae
Description: tRNA-Tyr
Rfam family: tRNA
About the family: Transfer RNA (tRNA) molecules are approximately 80 nucleotides in length. Their secondary structure includes four short double-helical elements and three loops (D, anti-codon, and T loops).
Source: RNAcentral
GGUAGGAUGGUCGAGUGUUAGGCGGUGGGUUGUAGCUCCAAUAACAAGGGUUAGAUCCCCUUUCCUGCCA